RNAcentral lists this ribosomal RNA (334 nucleotides) under uncultured eukaryote. Its description in RNAcentral is "partial 18S ribosomal RNA". It matches the Rfam family "Eukaryotic small subunit ribosomal RNA", at positions 1470 to 1796 of the family's 1831-position model. The record is from RNAcentral.
CCCUUAGAUGUCCGGGGCCGCACGCGCGCUACACUGAAGGAAUCAGCGUGGCUUUCUCCCUGACCCGAAAGGGUUGGGAAACCCGUUGAAUCUCCUUCGUGAUAGGGAUUGGGGCUUGAAAUUGUUCCCCAUGAACGAGGAAUUCCCAGUAAGCGCGAGUCAUAGGCUCGCGUUGAUUACGUCCCUGCCCUUUGUACACACCGCCCGUCGCUACUACCGAUUGAACGGUUUAGUGAGGGCCUCGGAUUGGUCUCGGCCCGCUCUUUACCGGGCGGCGCCGUUGGUCGAGAAGACGCUCGAACUUGAUCGUUUAGAGGAAGUAAAAGUCGUAACA